CCUACGGGAGGCAGCAGUGAGGAAUAUUGGUCAAUGGGCUUACGCCUGAACCAGCCAAGUCGCGUGAGGGAAGACUGCCCUAUGGGUUGUAAACCUCUUUUGUCAGGGAGCAACGCCGGCUACGUGUAGCCGGACUGAGAGUACCUGAAGAAAAAGCAUCGGCUAACUCCGUGCCAGCAGCCGCGGUAAUACGGAGGAUGCGAGCGUUAUCCGGAUUUAUUGGGUUUAAAGGGUGCGUAGGCGGAAUGCCAAGUCAGCGGUAAAAUCGCGGGGCUCAACCUCGCUCCGCCGUUGAAACUGGCGGUCUUGAGUGGGCGAGAAGUAUGCGGAAUGCGUGGUGUAGCGGUGAAAUGCAUAGAUAUCACGAAGAACUCCGAUUGCGAAGGCAGCAUACCGGCGCCCAACUGACGCUGAAGCACGAAAGCGUGGGUAUCGAACAGGAUUAGAUACCCCUGUAGUC
RNAcentral lists this ribosomal RNA (460 nucleotides) under uncultured bacterium. RNAcentral's name for it is "partial 16S ribosomal RNA". It matches the Rfam family "Bacterial small subunit ribosomal RNA", at positions 338 to 795 of the family's 1533-position model. The record is from RNAcentral.